CUACCCAGCGAAUAACCGAUAUGGGACUAAACACACGCCCGCACGGGUCCUCACACAAAUCCAUGCAAACGGCUCAUGAUGAUGAACAUGUCUGGGUGGUUUCAUUAUAUCCUGUAAUUCCUGAACAUGGACCUGGAUCCUCAAAUUUUCGUCCCAGCAUAAUCAUUCAAGUGCUUUGUUCCUUGGACUACCAUGGAAGCAACAAUUUAUAGCAACUCUGAUGGGCAUAGAUUAGAUAAUAAUUGCUCAUCCCAUUCCCUCAAUAUUAGUAAUAUCUGCAAUAGUAUGUUCCUCAUCAACAACAUCCAUAUUAGAAUACUUCAUGAAGACCAUAAUAUCCUGGCCAUCACCAAUCAUCCACUGAAAAUGAUCGGCUAUGAGUCUUCCCCCAGGCAUGGAUCUUUCACUGCUGUUCAUUUCCUCCCAAAUCCUCCCAAAUCCUGAUGAUCUUUCACUGUUGUUCAUUUCCUGAAGCAGCAAUAACACACACAAAAAAAAGGGGCAAACACCUGUGGACGGAUCACCAUCCCCAUUACCACCGUUACCACCACCACUAAAUCUCUCCCCACUUGGUAGAAAGAGAACAAUCAGUGGAGUCAUCUGGCAUCGUCUGUGUGAGGCCGGAU
RNAcentral lists this long non-coding RNA (626 nucleotides) under Phoenix dactylifera (date palm). RNAcentral's name for it is "long non-coding RNA (PDAC_LNC005119)". Lineage: Eukaryota; Viridiplantae; Streptophyta; Magnoliopsida; Arecales; Arecaceae. The record is from RNAcentral.